GGAGGGUUGGCCGAGUGGUCUAAGGCGGCUGACUUAAGAUCAGCUGGUGUUCUCACCGCGCGAGUUCGAACCUCGCAUCCUUCA
This 84-nucleotide transfer RNA is filed under the name Petasospora fabianii. Its description in RNAcentral is "Cyberlindnera fabianii tRNA". It matches the Rfam family "tRNA". Rfam says of the family: Transfer RNA (tRNA) molecules are approximately 80 nucleotides in length. Their secondary structure includes four short double-helical elements and three loops (D, anti-codon, and T loops). Further hydrogen bonds mediate the characteristic L-shaped molecular structure. tRNAs have two regions of fundamental functional importance: the anti-codon, which is responsible for specific mRNA codon recognition, and the 3' end, to which the tRNAs corresponding amino acid is attached (by aminoacyl-tRNA synthetases). tRNAs cope with the degeneracy of the genetic code in two manners: having more than one tRNA (with a specific anti-codon) for a particular amino acid; and 'wobble' base-pairing, i.e. permitting non-standard base-pairing at the 3rd anti-codon position. Lineage: Eukaryota; Fungi; Ascomycota; Saccharomycetes; Phaffomycetales; Wickerhamomycetaceae. The record is from Rfam by way of RNAcentral.